Schistocerca gregaria is the source of this 4619-nucleotide long non-coding RNA. RefSeq lists it as uncharacterized. The record is from RefSeq and is a predicted model, not a curated record. The transcript has 3 exons. NCBI's taxonomy places the organism in Eukaryota, Metazoa, Arthropoda, Insecta, Orthoptera, Acrididae.
UUUGAUGUGAAGCCUUUCGAUAUCUCGAACAAGCAGGAGUUGCACUGCGUGUUUAAGAGAAGAAAGUGCAGUGUUUAGUGAAUAAGAGUUAACCACAACAUAACAUAACACUUUUUUUUUUUAAUAGAUUUGAAACUGAUCAGUGUAGAACGACGUUGCUCUUAAAAACUUUUGUAAAUUUGGGUGGUGUGCUAGUAGUUAUCCAAAAGUGUCUGCACGAUGUGUGCCUAGAAACCUGUUCCUGGAUCAUAAGAGUGCAAGAAUUGGGAAUCAGCUUCGAUCACUUGCCGCGGUGCGAGAGAGAAGGAAAUAGGUUCUUAUUCAGAAUUAUCACAGGCAAUGAGACCUGUGUGCCCCACUAUAUCCUAGAAUCUAAGGCCGCCUCAAUGACGAACGCCUCCAUUGACAAGCUAGGAAAAGAUUCAAAGUGUCACACUAGUUGGGAAAGUUUAUGGCCACGCCGUUCUGGGACGCGAAAGGUGCGAUUCUCCUUGAUUUCCUCCAGCAAGGGACCAUCAGUGCGGAACACUGCUGCGAUACCCUCACUCAGACUUGGUCCGCGCCAUUUGACGAAACAGACCAAGGGCUCUGGAGUGAAUAUGUUGGAUAACAACGCAAAACUACUUAUGGCCAAGAUUCGUCGCUUCGGUUGGUAAAAUUUGGAUAAUAUGGCCUAUAGCCCCGAUAUUGCACCAGCGGACUUUCACUGGCCCCUGCACUGAAAGACGCGCUCUCGGGACUUUAGUUUCAAACUAAUGCUGAGGUGGAGUGGAUUGUGCAACAUGUCCUUGCAUCCCAGGGCACCGAACUUUAACAGUGUGGCUUUUUAAAAACUGAUUUCACCCUUACGACAUGUGUCGGUGGCGACUACGUCGUAAAUUAGUGCAAGGUGUAUAGGUCGUGAUGCCAUGGUGUAUUUGCUUUUGCCGAUAAGAUGUCCGUGUGAAACAGUGACGAAACUUACUUUCGGAACGCCCCACGCAUGAUACGAACAAAACUGCACAAUAUUUUAAGGUGUGUGAAGUAGUUGUAGCAGAGAAGCAAUUACGGAAACUCGCAGCGUAACACUCACAAGAAUAAUACACAGGAGCGCAGUAGACGAAACAUAACAGUACUUUGUGCUCCCCUUAAUAUGAAGUGUGAAUAUUCGAGAUUAACCGUGUUGAAUAUGUAUCGGGAACCCCUCUUGCUAUUAGUGAAAUUGUUUUGUGUCGUUAUUUGAAAUUGUAUUGUUUCUGCUUGAUGGUAACAGCUAAUUCAGUGUAGGUAUUUCAUGUACACACAUUUAAGGUACACAUCAUGGCAGGCCUGUGCUGCAAAAUGCAAAAGUCUCUCAGAAUCAGUUAAUGAAAGACAUUGCUUAAUAACCCUGACAGUGUUUUAUCAGGGCAUCAUGUCAGUAGGCAGAUGAAUUACAAUUAAAUUGCAUCUCUUUACACAAAAACACAUUAAGCCUGGUAUUGGCAUGACAAUAUUGCAUUAAAGUUUAGAAUAUUAUUAAAAAUAGAUGAGCUGCUAUCUAAAUCAUAUAGGCUAAUGCUUAUUCAAAAACAUGGAAGUCUACAUAACUAUCUUGCAGAAGUACAAAGAUCUUAUUAAAUAGGCUAAUUUUAUGCCCUAAAAUCAUAGUUAUUAAUUUUUACUGUGAAGUACUUCUGGGGUGAAAGAAAGUGUAAUCAAUAAAUAACACUAUUCCAGUGCCCAAAGAUGGUCUUCUUGCAGUGUUAUCCCAUGAGGUAAAUACUUAGGCCAUUUUUUUUUUCCCCCUGAAACUGUGCUGUUCUGCUGAUGAGUAUGUUUGUGAAGAACAAUCUAGCCAUACGAAACAAAUGGAUGUUGUGCACAUCAUCACAGGUUACUAACAGCCAACAGCAGUAAAUAUGAAUGCUACUGGCAAGAGACUACUUGCACAGCCAUAAACACCCAGUCUGACAAAAGCCGUAUCUCUCUUCCCAUUGCAUCCCAUAUAUCUUUAUUAAUGAAAAUAUGUGUGUGAGACAGACCUGCAGAAUAAGUAUAAUUUCAUAUGAAACAGUACAAGCAAAACAAAAUACUGCAGCUUGGGCAAAUUCAGUCAUAUUAAAGAAAAGUCUUUUAGUAUGCUGUGUUAAACAUCAGGAACCUCACUACUACAGGGAACACUUCUUGUAGCAAUACCAGUAUAGGAAAAUUAAAGGGCAGGUAAAUUGCAUAUGUUGUGCAUAUAGUAACAACACUUGGAAAUCAUUGGAAUGGGACAGUUUCAUGUUGAUGGGUCAAAGCUAACAUUUUCUGGUGUAGAACCAGUGUGAAGAAAGGGGGGAUGAAGUUGAAUCCUAGGCUAUUCAGGUUGAUGAAUGUUGUUUUAAACAGCUCUUUGAAUGUUGUUCCCCAAUAGUGGACCAGGAAACAUGCAAGCUUAUGGUACUGGCAAGAUAUGUCUUAAGCUUCAUAAAGCAACUUCGUGAUAGUUUUGAUUAGGUCAUCCAGACAUCAAUGAUUCUGGAGAUUUUAAUGGAGAUUUUCUGUCAAAUGGUUCAAAUGGCUCUGAGCACAAUGGACUUAACAGCUAUGGUCAUCAGUCCCCUAGAACAUAGAACUACUUAAACCUAACUAACCUAAGGACAUCACACAACACCCAGGCAUCACGAGGCAGAGAAAAUCAAUGACGCCGCCUGGAAAAUCGAACCCGGGCGUGGGAAGCAAGAACGCUACACGCACGACCAUGAGCUGCGGCCAUUUUCUGUCAGAUAGUACUGAUAGACUACCUCUUUGUUGAUGUCAGGCUUUGGAUUCUUAACCUAAGUAAAGCUCCCUUGAAGAACUCAGGGACGUAGUGCAAUAGUCGUUGACAGAUUCUUCGUAGACACAACCACCUUCAAUGAUUAGCCAGUAGUUGUAUUAAAAAUGUGACAAUGGUGGUCAUAUGUCAACAGUAAAAUUUAUGAAUUAUUUAUGUAUAGAUUAGAGAAGAAAAUGAUUGUUGCCUAUUACAGAACCAUAAACAAUAAUUUACACACAGUGUUGAAAUAUAAACUCCAGAUAGAAUGUUGGGAAGAGGUUAAUGAAAACAGGCAUAGUUUAUGGAAAAUUUUAAUGGUUUCCUAACAUGUCCAUACACUUUGAGUCGUGUUAGUUCUAAAACAGCAUACAAUUAAAUAGAAGCAAGGAUAAAGGAUACAUUUAGUCCAAGGAUGAAGGUAUCUUCUGUAAGAAAGUGAGAGUGCUACCUAAUUCAGAAGACAAACUGUAAAGAGUUGAAGCUCUGUUACUGACAGUAUUGUAACAUCCUCUGGGCAUUUUGCUUAACUAGUUUUAUUCUUGCUGUUUGAGGAUUGCUCAGUAUGAUGUGCCACCCACUCCAUUCACAGCAUCACAAGUGUUGGAAUGUUGGUGCCCAAACGUUAUUGGCUGUAAAGAGAUGUUGAGAUUCACCGAUGGUAUUGCAAUUUUGUCAGAGAUAGCAAAGGGAAUGGAAGAGCACUUGAACGGAAUGGACAGUGUCUUGAAAGGAGGAUAUAAGAUGAACAUCAACAAAAGCAAAUCGAGGAUAAUGGAAUGUAGUCGAAUUAAAUCGGGUGAUGCUGCCGUAAUUAGAUUAGGAAAUGAGACACUUAAAGUAGUAAAUGAAUUUUGCUAUUUGGGGAGCAAAAUAACUGACGAUGGUCGAAGUAAAGAGGAUAUAAAAUGUAGAUUGGCAAUGGCAAGAAAAGCGUCUCUGAAGAAGAGAAAUUUGUUAACAUCAAGUAUAGAUUUAAGUGUCAGGAAGUCAUUUCUGAAAGUAUUUGUAUGGAGUGUAGCCAUGUAUGGAAGUGAAACAUGGACGAUAAAUAGUUUGGACAAGAAGAGAAUAGAAGCUUUCGAAAUGUGGUGCUACAGAAGAAUGCUGAAGAUUAGAUGGCUAGAUCACGUAACUAAUGAGGAGGUAUUGCAUAGUUCUGGGUAGAAGAGAAAUUUGUGGCACAACUUGACUAGAAGAAGGGAUCGGCUGGUAGGGCAUAUUCUGAAGCAUCAAGGGAUCACCAGUUUAGUAUUGGUGGCAGUGUGGAGGGUAAAAAUCAUAGAGGGAGACCAAGAGAAGAAUACAAUAAAAAGAUUCAGAAGGAGAUGGAGUAGUGCAGCAGGUACUGGGAGAUGAAGCAGCUUGCACAGGAUACAGUAGCAUGGAGAGCUGCAUCAAACCAGUCUGUGGACUGAAGACCAUAACAACAACAUAGAUGUUGACCACAAUGUUUGAGGGUGCUGGUGCUACUGAUGUGACUCUGACAAAAGGCAUACAAUUUGUUGUGAGCCAGUGGAUCCCUGUGAGCCAGCUCAUACUCCAAUGAUGUUGAUGAUUUGUGAUGAGAUGAAGAAGUGGGAUCAGAUGCCGCCACCAUACCACUGAUUUAUUCAGGCAUGGCAGAGUUUUUACAUGAAAAUGUUCGGGGAAUUAGUGCCGCCGCAUCUCUUGUCUGCGUCCGCACAUGGACUUUUUUAUUUUAUUUGCUGCAGUUCACAAAUAACUGAACCUAGUGAUCAAAUUGUGCAUUUAUGUAAUGUGAAGUUGUUAUUGUUGUAACAAAAUUUUAACAAUGCUGAAGCUUUUAUACAUGUAAACACAAAACUAACUGGGAAAUAAAAGUGCUGAAAAUUAACAA